RNAcentral lists this ribosomal RNA (305 nucleotides) under uncultured bacterium. RNAcentral describes it as "bacterial SSU rRNA". It matches the Rfam family "Bacterial small subunit ribosomal RNA", at positions 337 to 659 of the family's 1533-position model. The record is from RNAcentral.
ACCUACGGGAGGCAGCAGUGGGGAAUAUUGCACAAUGGGGGAAACCCUGAUGCAGCGACGCCGCGUGAGUGAAGAAGUAAUUCGUUGCGUAAAGCUCUAUCAGCAGGGAAGAAAAUGACGGUACCUGAGUAAGAAGCCCCGGCUAACUACGUGCCAGCAGCCGCGGUAAUACGUAGGGGGCAAGCGUUAUCCGGAUUUACUGGGUGUAAAGGGAGCGUAGACGGUACGCCAAGUCUGAAGUGAAAUGCCGCAGCUUAACUGCGGAACUGCUUUGGAAACUGGCGGGCUGGAGUGCGGGAGGGGUA